GACGAACGCUGGCGGCGUGCUUAACACAUGCAAGUCGAACGGAAAGGCCCUGCUUUUGUGGUGUGCUCGAGUGGCGAACGGGUGAGUAACACGUGAGUAACCUGCCCUUGACUUUGGGAUAACUUCAGGAAACGGGGGCUAAUACCGGAUAGGAGCUCCUGCUGCAUGGUGGGGGUUGGAAAGUUUCGGCGGUUGGGGAUGGACUCGCGGCUUAUCAGCUUGUUGGUGGGGUAGUGGCUUACCAAGGCUUUGACGGGUAGCCGGCCUGAGAGGGUGACCGGCCACAUUGGGACUGAGGUACGGCGCAGACUCCUACGGGAGGCAGCAGUGGGGAAUAUUGCACAAUGGGCGGACGCCUGAUGAAGCAACGCCGCGUGCGGGAUGACGGCCUUCGGGUUGUAAACCGCUUUCGCCUGUGACGAAGCGUGAGUGACGGUAAUGGGUAAAGAAGCACCGGCUAACUACGUG
Molecule: ribosomal RNA, 468 nt
Filed under: uncultured bacterium
Lineage: Bacteria
Description: partial 16S ribosomal RNA
Rfam family: Bacterial small subunit ribosomal RNA
Source: RNAcentral